Cuculus canorus (common cuckoo) is the source of this 882-nucleotide long non-coding RNA. RefSeq lists it as uncharacterized. The record is from RefSeq and is a predicted model, not a curated record. NCBI's taxonomy places the organism in Eukaryota, Metazoa, Chordata, Aves, Cuculiformes, Cuculidae. The transcript has 3 exons.
GAGGAAGGGUUUUCCUUCCCUCUACCUCAGUUUCCCCAACUGGGGACCAACCGAAGCUGGUGGAAGCCGCAGAGAUGAAAGCAGCUGUGCUUACUGUCAUCUGUGAACUGAACAAGCUGCUUAUUUUGUGGUAAUCCACACGUAAUAUAAAAGGUCACUGCGAUUGUACAAGUGAGGCACUAUUUUUAGGUGUAAAGGUUAUUAUGAAAGUGGAAAUGGAAAAUAACCUGAAAAGAGGAAUUGAAAACGCAACACAAAUGUUACCCAUAUUUCACUGAAAACAAGAAAUUACUGGGGUCCUGACAGCUCCCCUCCUGCCGCCGGGAGGGAUUUCAUAACCAUGCGUUGUUAACCGUCACAUCUCUGCGUGACUCGGAGCCUGUCUCCGGACCAGAGCGCUGGCUCGUCGCUUGCUGCUGCCCACUCCUACAGCACGCGUUUGAACCUGUGGAAACUGAACCUAAUAUUCUUCUGCAGUGCUGAGCAGAAAGGUUGUAGUCAUUUGGCUUCUCAAGCAAAAUAGUGCAAACUUCCUUAUCUACCUGAAGUGCAGGUUCAGUUGUUUUAUGGCCCAGUGAAAGGACAGGAAGUAUACCCCAUGGCAACGGGAACUCCCUGAUGGAGAGUGGCUUCCCUCACUCAGCGGUGUUGCAGCUGGCUACGUAACCUGGUGUGAGACUUCGGUAGGUACCCAACCACUUGACCUCUGAUUUCUUGGGAGCAAAGCUUCUGGCCAAGGUGUGGACUUCAGCCUGGUGUUUUAAGCACCCUAAUUCACAGGUAAGUGGGUUCUUGUCUCUUCACCACACUGCCUGAUAGAAUAACUGUUAAAAUUAUUUAAAAAUGUGGAUCAAGCUGCUCCAAGCCCUGUCCAACCUGGCC